Molecule: microRNA precursor, 155 nt
Filed under: Pelobates cultripes (western spadefoot toad)
Lineage: Eukaryota; Metazoa; Chordata; Amphibia; Anura; Pelobatidae
Source: RNAcentral
GCAGACACAUUCCAGCCAGUCAGCAGCAGACCCUCACUCCCAGACCCUCCCACCACUAAGAAUGCAGCUUCACAAUGAAUGUAAAAUGGAUGCUGUCCAGGAGGUGGGAGGGUCUGGGAGGGAGGGUCUGCUGCUGAUUGGCUGAAAUGUGUCUG